Molecule: transfer RNA, 49 nt
Filed under: Dicliptera lanceolaria
Lineage: Eukaryota; Viridiplantae; Streptophyta; Magnoliopsida; Lamiales; Acanthaceae
Description: Peristrophe lanceolaria partial tRNA-Phe
Source: RNAcentral
AUUUGAACUGUGACACGAGGAUUUUCAGUCCUCUGCUCUACCAGCUGAG